This 1469-nucleotide ribosomal RNA is filed under the name uncultured prokaryote. RNAcentral's name for it is "partial 16S ribosomal RNA". It matches the Rfam family "Bacterial small subunit ribosomal RNA". The record is from RNAcentral.
AGAGUUUGAUCCUGGCUCAGAAUGAACGCUGGCGGCAUGGAUUAGGCAUGCAAGUCGAACGCUCACUUCGGUGAGAGUGGCGAAAGGGUGAGUAACGCGUGAGUAAUCUGCCCUCAAGUUUGGAACAACUGUUGGAAACGACAGCUAAUACCGGAUGUGAAUACUUAGAUGCAUGUUUAAGUAUUUAAAGGUUUACUGCUUGAGGAUGAGCUCGCGUCCCAUUAUGCUAGUUGGUAAGGUAACGGCUUACCAAGGCUAUGACGGGUAGGUGGUCUGAGAGGAUGGUCACCCACACUGGGACUGAGACACUGCCCAGACUCCUGCGGGAGGCUGCAGUCGAGAAUCUUCCGCAAUGCGCGAAAGCGUGACGGAGCAAUGCCGCGUGAAGGAUGAAGGCUUUCGGGUCGUAAACUUCUGUCAGAGGGGAAAAAUUAUGAUGGUACCCUCAGAGGAAGCCACGGCUAACUACGUGCCAGCAGCCGCGGUAAUACGUAGGUGGCGAGCGUUAUUCGGAUUUACUGGGCGUAAAGGGUCCGUAGGGGGAUACAUAAGUUUGAUGUGAAAUUUCGAGGCUCAACCUCGAACCUGCAUUGAAAACUGUGUAUCUAGAAUUCGGUAGAGGUAAGUGGAAUUUGUGGUGUAGCGGUGGAAUGCGUAGAUAUCACAAGGAACAUCAAAGGCGAAAGCAGCUUACUGGGCCGAUAUUGACCCUGAGGGACGAAAGCUAAGGUAGCGAAAAGGAUUAGAUACCCUUGUAGUCUUAGCCGUAAACGUUGUACACUCGAUGUCGGGGGAAUUAGCCCCUUCGGUGUCUAAGCUAACGCGAUAAGUGUACCGCCUGGGAAGUACGGUCGCAAGACUAAAACUCAAAGGAAUUGACGGGGGCCCGCACAAGCGGUGGAGCAUGUGGCUUAAUUCGAGGCAACGCGAAGAACCUUACCUGGGUUUGACAUAUAUAUGACCGCUCCCGAAACGGAGUUUCUCUUCGGAGCAUAUAUACAGGUGCUGCAUGGCUGUCGUCAGCUCGUGCCGUGAGGUGUUCGGUUAAGUCCGGCAACGAGCGCAACCCAUGUCACUAGUUGCCAACACGUAAUGGUGGGGACUCUAGUGAGACUGCCCGAGUCAAUCGGGAGGAAGGCGUGGACGACGUCAAGUCAGUAUGGCCCUUACACCCAGGGCUGCACACGUGCUACAAUGGCGACUACAGAAGGCAGCAAUACCGCGAGGUGGAGCUAAUCCGUUAAAAGUCGCCCCAGUUCGGAUAGGAGUCUGCAACUCGACUCCUUGAAGUCGGAAUCGCUAGUAAAGGCGUAUCAGCUACGACGCCUUGAAUACGUUCCCGGGCCUUGUACACACCGCCCGUCACAUCACGGGAGCCUGGUGCACCCGAAGCCGCCGUACCAACUGCUUGCAGAGGAAGGCGUCGAAGGUGUGCCCGGUAACAGGGAUGAAGUCGUAACAAGGUAACC